Gopherus evgoodei (Goodes thornscrub tortoise) is the source of this 487-nucleotide long non-coding RNA. RefSeq lists it as uncharacterized. Lineage: Eukaryota; Metazoa; Chordata; Testudines; Testudinidae. The record is from RefSeq and is a predicted model, not a curated record. The transcript is spliced from 3 exons.
CUCCCCUCCGGCGGACGACACAGCGCGGGCGGCGGCUGAAGGCGGGAGACCCACCGGCCGCCCCCCACUCACCGCAGCCGCAGCAGAGAUGCAGCUUUCUUCAGUUCCCUUUCUAAGGCAGAAGAUAGACUAUGCCAGGGAAGAUCCUCUGUGUCUCAGACUCUACAGUAGCAAGAGAAAGGAGGGCUACUCUACCUACAUAUAUAAAGUCCUAAAGCAAACUCAUCAAGUCUCAGGGGUCUCCUGCUGGGUUGCCGAUGUCAUAAAUUCUCUGGAUAAACCACAGUUGUUUGGGAAAGCUGCAUUAGAAGCUGCCAGGUUGUCUCUCUACAACAAGAGACGCCUCAUUACCUGCAGAGAGGUCCAUGCUGCAAUGAAGUUAGUGCUUCUGCAUGAGCUCUCCAAGCAAGAUAGGUGUGAGACCAUCAAAGCUGUGACAAAGUCCACUGGAUGUAAAUGAACUCUUAUUAAAAUGUAAUGCUUUUAA